This 325-nucleotide ribosomal RNA is filed under the name uncultured eukaryote. RNAcentral describes it as "partial 18S ribosomal RNA". It matches the Rfam family "Eukaryotic small subunit ribosomal RNA", at positions 1470 to 1796 of the family's 1831-position model. The record is from RNAcentral.
CCCUUAGAUGUCCUGGGCCGCACGCGCGCUACACUGACAUGUUCAACAAGCCUCCUAGUUCGACAGGAUUUGGGAAAUCUUUGAACGCAUGUCGUGAUAGGGAUAGAUCAUUGCAAUUAUUGAUCUUGAACGAGGAAUUCCUAGUAAACGCGAGUCAUCAGCUCGCAUUGAUUACGUCCCUGCCCUUUGUACACACCGCCCGUCGCACCUACCGAUUGAAUGGUCCGGUGAAAUCUUCGGAUUGAGACUUUGAUUUCUUCACGGAAAACGCUGUUUUAAAAAGUUGAUUAAACCUUACCAUUUAGAGGAAGGUGAAGUCGUAACA